UAAUACGUAGGGUGCAAGCGUUGCCCGGAUUUAUUGGGCGUAAAGGGCGCGUAGGCGGCCGAGCAAGUCAUGCGUGAAAUCUCCCGGCUCAACUGGGAGGGGUCGUGUGAUACUGCUUGGCUCGAGCAAGGUAGGGGGCAGUGGAAUUCCCGGUGUAGUGGUGGAAUGCGUAGAUAUCGGGAGGAACACCAGUGGCGAAGGCGGCUGCCUGGACCUUUGCUGACGCUAAUGCGCGAAAGCGUGGGGAGCGAUCCGGAUUAGAUACCCGGGUAGUCCACGCUGUAAACGAUGAGUACUAGGUGUCGGGGGUAUCGACCCCCUCGGUGCCGGAGCUAACGCAUUAAGUACUCCGCCUGGGGACUACGGCCGCAAGGCUA
RNAcentral lists this ribosomal RNA (377 nucleotides) under uncultured bacterium. RNAcentral describes it as "bacterial SSU rRNA". It matches the Rfam family "Bacterial small subunit ribosomal RNA", at positions 521 to 896 of the family's 1533-position model. The record is from RNAcentral.